AUGGAAGGUGCCAGGGCGGCGGAGGUGGCCGGCGGCGGCGGGGCCGGGGAUGUGCAGAUUAAGGGCGCCAAGGAGAGCGGCCAGGCCGCGCAGCAGCAGCAGCUGCUGCCGACGGGCAGCGAGCCGGUCGAGAUGCCCGCCACGCCGCUGCCGCACGCCCGCGAAAUCGAGUGGUCCGAGCAUUUCUCCUUCUUCAACUCCAUGGGCACCGGCACCGGCACGGACGGCGUGAUGGGGCCGGCCAGCGUCGGGAUGUCGCGCUCCGAGUCGUCCAGGCCGGACAGCGUCACCCAGCAGCAGCGCUGCCUGGCGGGCAGCAACGCCGACGAGAGGGUGGAGGAGCUCACCGUCAGGAACUGCAUCAGCUCUGAGGCUCACCAGCCUGCUGCCUCUGCCGGUGGGAGCACUGGCGGCACGGGGGAGAGGCCCGCCGUUAUGAGGGGCCUCUGGGGUAACUUCACACGGAUGGCGUGGAGGACCGCCGAUGCCGCUAGCAGGGAAGCCUUGGCGGUCAGCCUUGGCAACGCCAUGGGGUCUCACAACAUUGAUGCUUCUGGCAAGGGAAUGCCAUUUGACCGCGGCGAAAAUGGUAAUACCGAGUUCAAUAUGUCAUUUGGUAAUCAGCAGCAGCUGCAGCAUAUCUUGUCUUCACGGCUGAAUCAGAGCGAGCAGCAUGUCUUGUCUUCAUGGCAGAAUCAGAGCGAGCAGCAUGUCUUGUCUUCACGGCAGAAUCAGAGCGAGCAACAUGUCCUGUCUUCACUGCCGAAUCAGAGCGAGCAUAAUGUCCUGUCUUCACGGCCGAAUCAGAGCGAGCAGCAUCUCCCGUCUUCACGGCAGAAUCAGAGCGAGCAGCAUAUCAUGUCUUCAUGGCCGAAUCAAAGUGNNNNNNNNNNNNNNNNNNNNNGGCUGAAUCACAGUGAGCAGAAUAUCCCGUCUUCACGGCCGAAUCAGAGUGAGCUGCAUAUCCCGUCUUCACGGCCGAAUCAGAGCGAGCAGCAUAUCCCGUCUUCACGGACGAAACAGAGCGAGCAGCAUGUCCUGUCUUCACGGCCGAAUCAAAGCGAGCAGCAUGUCCUGUCUUCACGGCCGAAUCAAAGCGAGCAGCAUAUCCUGUCUUCACGGCCGAAUCAAAAUGAACAGCGGUCUGAAAGGGAUAAUGGUCUGAAAGUGAGUAGCUUCUCAAAUAGAAUUAUUGACCAGAUGAGGAGUAAGACUUUGACACCUUCAUCUGGGCUUCAGGGUUCCCCCUUUAAGCCUGUAUUGAAGGGUAAAAGGGUUACCUACCAAGGUCCACACGAGGAGAUCCAAGUUCAAGCUAAUGCAAGACCCAGAGCCCCUAUGGAUAAGAUCCCUAAGAUUCCUAGCUCAACACAUGAUUCUGUGGCCAGAUUGGAUGGUACACUUUUCAGCAGUGGUGGAAAUGUUUCCGAAUCUCAGUAUGAGGGAACAAGCCUGAGGGAACUAAUUAAGCCCGCGCGCCAAGCGAUGAGCAAGUUUGAGAAAAUGCAGUUGUUUAAGCAGAUCCUUGAUCAUGUAGACAAAUCCCAUGCACAGGGUGUAACCUUACAGCAUUUGCGCCCGUCGUAUUUUAUAAUAUCAUCCCCAAACCAAGUAAGAUAUACCGGUUCUUACACUAAACAAGAUUUAUCAACCCCAGCCAAACCGGAUAUGGCCGCAGAUGAUGUUUUUAACAGAAAACGAUGCUUCGAUCAGAAAACUUUGCACCAAGAGUGUAAUGGCAAUGGACAUUCAAUCCUGAAGUAUCAGAAGGUUGGUGAACAAGGUUCUGUUGCCGUCAGGCGACCGAUACAUCCCUUCCGGACUGACCACAAAGGGGCCAACCAAAGUGAAGGUGCUGAUCUAGGUGCUUUAGGACAGGGAAAUUCUAGUUGCACCGUCGGAGGUCGUUCUAAGUAUGGCGAACCUUACUAUGGUGGUAAUGCAUCUUAUGGCCAACGUUUUCCUAAUUAUGGCAACCAAGAAUCAGUACUUGAAUUGAGGAUGCUAGAAGAUAGCUGGUACAGAAGCCCGGAAGAGCUCAAUCAAUUGAAAGGCACAUCCCCAUCCAACAUCUACAGCCUUGGGGUUCUUUUAUUUGAGCUCUUUUGCUGUUGUGAAACAUGGGAGCUGCAUUGUGCUGCAAUGUCAGAUCUUCGCCACCGGAUCCUGCCUCCAAUUUUUCUUUCAGAAAGUCCCAAGGAGGCUGGCUUCUGCCUUUGGCUAUUGCAUCCUGAUCCUUUUUCUCGACCAAAAGCAAGAGACAUUCUAGGAUGUGACUUGAUAAAUGAGGGUCGGGAUUUAUCGGUGUUAGAUAAGGCACCAGCUGCUAUCAAUGAGGAGGACACAGAGUCUGGUUUGUUACUGAAUUUUCUGUCUCAACUGAAAGAAGAAAAGGAGAUGCAUGCUGCCAAGUUAUCAGCAGAUCUUGCAAGCUUGCAGACUGAUAUUGUAGAGGCUGAGAGAAGACACUCGUUUAGGAUGGGGUUCAGUUUAGGGGACAUGGAUGUACCAGCAAGUUCUAAUGAUGUGCCAGGUACUUCAUCAAAUGCCCUGAGAGGGGCAUCGUUGUCAGGUUUGCUAACACCACCAGGCAGGUCAGGCAUAUACGAGGAGAGGGUGAUGAAGAAUUUGCAGCAGCUUGAAAAAGCAUAUUACUCCACGAGGUCCACCAUUGACACAUCUGAGACUAAUGUAAUUAAGCGUUCCGAUAAUGAUGCUUUGAGGGUCCGUGAAAACUUUAACCACAGGGAUGCCGAUGCUAUGAAUGGGCCAACAGACCCCCUUGGAUGCUUUUUUGAUGGUCUAUGCAAAUAUGCCCGGCAUAGUAGGUUUGAAGUACGAGGGAUUUUGAAGAAUGCUGAUAUACUUAACUCUCCAAAUGUGAUCUGUUCUUUAAGUUUUGACCGUGAUGAAGAAUAUUUUGCUGCUGCUGGGGUUUCAAAGAAAAUUAAAAUAUUCGAAUUCGAUGCUCUUUUAAAUGAUCGUGUUGAUAUUCAUUAUCCUAUAGUAGAGAUGCCUAGCAAGUCCAAGCUUAGUUGUGUCUGUUGGAACAACUAUAUAAAGAACUACUUGGCAUCAACAGACUAUGAUGGCACUGUUCAGCUAUGGGAUGCAAGCACUGGCCAAGGAUUCACACAGUUUACAGAGCAUCGGAAAAGAGCUUGGUCUGUGAGUUUCUCAGAGGUGGAUCCAACUAAAUUGGCAAGUGGGAGUGACGAUUGUUGUGUGAAAGUUUGGAAUAUUAACCAGAAAAAUAGCGUGGACACAAUCAGAAAUGUGGCCAACGUAUGCUGUGUACAGUUCUCGCCAUACUCCUCUCGUAUGUUAGCCUUUGGCUCAGCUGAUUACAAGACAUACUGUUAUGAUCUGAGGCAUACAAGGAUCCCCUGGUGUACCAUUUCUGGACACGGGAAAGCUGUCAGCUAUGUAAGAUUCUUGGAUGCAGAAACGCUUAUAUCUGCCUCAACUGACAAUACCUUGAAGAUAUGGGAUCUCAACCGGACUAAUCCUAAUGGAUUAUCUACUAAUGCUUGCAGUCUGACUUUGAGUGGUCAUACCAAUGAGAAGAAUUUUGUAGGCUUAUCCGUUCACGAUGGAUACAUAACGUGCGGUUCUGAAAACAAUGAAGUAUAUUCUUACUAUAAAAGCUUUCCCAUGCCAAUAACUUCUCACAAGUUUGGUUCAAUUGAUCCAAUAACCGGACAAGAGACCAAUGAUGAUAAUCAGCAGUUUGUGUCGAGCGUUUGCUGGAGAGGAAGGUCGAAUAUGGUGGUGGCCGCCAACUCUAGUGGAAGCAUCAAAGUCCUUGAGCUUGUUUGA
Molecule: ribosomal RNA, 3819 nt
Filed under: Triticum aestivum (bread wheat)
Lineage: Eukaryota; Viridiplantae; Streptophyta; Magnoliopsida; Poales; Poaceae
Description: partial small subunit ribosomal RNA
Source: RNAcentral